This 27-nucleotide small RNA is filed under the name Bombyx mori (domestic silkworm). RNAcentral describes it as "ovarian small RNA-26801". The record is from RNAcentral. Lineage: Eukaryota; Metazoa; Arthropoda; Insecta; Lepidoptera; Bombycidae.
UCCAGCCUUAUCUCGUGCGCCAGUGUC